RNAcentral lists this ribosomal RNA (1901 nucleotides) under Salmonella enterica subsp. enterica serovar Chandans. RNAcentral's name for it is "partial 23S ribosomal RNA". It matches the Rfam family "Bacterial large subunit ribosomal RNA", at positions 911 to 2792 of the family's 2925-position model. Lineage: Bacteria; Pseudomonadati; Pseudomonadota; Gammaproteobacteria; Enterobacterales; Enterobacteriaceae. The record is from RNAcentral.
UGUUUCGGCUAGGGGGCCAUCCCGGCUUACCAACCCGAUGCAAACUGCGAAUACCGGAGAAUGUUAUCACGGGAGACACACGGCGGGUGCUAACGUCCGUCGUGAAGAGGGAAACAACCCAGACCGCCAGCUAAGGUCCCAAAGUCAUGGUUAAGUGGGAAACGAUGUGGGAAGGCCCAGACAGCCAGGAUGUUGGCUUAGAAGCAGCCAUCAUUUAAAGAAAGCGUAAUAGCUCACUGGUCGAGUCGGCCUGCGCGGAAGAUGUAACGGGGCUAAACCAUGCACCGAAGCUGCGGCAGCGACGCUGAUGCGUUGUUGGGUAGGGGAGCGUUCUGUAAGCCUGCGAAGGUGGCCUGUGAGGGUUGCUGGAGGUAUCAGAAGUGCGAAUGCUGACAUAAGUAACGAUAAAGCGGGUGAAAAGCCCGCUCGCCGGAAGACCAAGGGUUCCUGUCCAACGUUAAUCGGGGCAGGGUGAGUCGACCCCUAAGGCGAGGCCGAAAGGCGUAGUCGAUGGGAAACGGGUUAAUAUUCCCGUACUUGGUGUUACUGCGAAGGGGGGACGGAGAAGGCUAUGUUGGCCGGGCGACGGUUGUCCCGGUUUAAGCGUGUAGGUGUGUGUUCCAGGUAAAUCCGGUUCACUUUAACACUGAGGCGUGAUGACGAGGCACUACGGUGCUGAAGCAACAAAUGCCCUGCUUCCAGGAAAAGCCUCUAAGCAUCAGGUAACAUCAAAUCGUACCCCAAACCGACACAGGUGGUCAGGUAGAGAAUACCAAGGCGCUUGAGAGAACUCGGGUGAAGGAACUAGGCAAAAUGGUGCCGUAACUUCGGGAGAAGGCACGCUGACACGUAGGUGAAGUGAUUUACUCAUGGAGCUGAAGUCAGUCGAAGAUACCAGCUGGCUGCAACUGUUUAUUAAAAACACAGCACUGUGCAAACACGAAAGUGGACGUAUACGGUGUGACGCCUGCCCGGUGCCGGAAGGUUAAUUGAUGGGGUCAGCGCAAGCGAAGCUCCUGAUCGAAGCCCCGGUAAACGGCGGCCGUAACUAUAACGGUCCUAAGGUAGCGAAAUUCCUUGUCGGGUAAGUUCCGACCUGCACGAAUGGCGUAAUGAUGGCCAGGCUGUCUCCACCCGAGACUCAGUGAAAUUGAACUCGCUGUGAAGAUGCAGUGUACCCGCGGCAAGACGGAAAGACCCCGUGAACCUUUACUAUAGCUUGACACUGAACAUUGAGCCUUGAUGUGUAGGAUAGGUGGGAGGCUUUGAAGUGUGGACGCCAGUCUGCAUGGAGCCGACCUUGAAAUACCACCCUUUAAUGUUUGAUGUUCUAACGUGGACCCGUGAUCCGGGUUGCGGACAGUGUCUGGUGGGUAGUUUGACUGGGGCGGUCUCCUCCUAAAGAGUAACGGAGGAGCACGAAGGUUGGCUAAUCCUGGUCGGACAUCAGGAGGUUAGUGCAAUGGCAUAAGCCAGCUUGACUGCGAGCGUGACGGCGCGAGCAGGUGCGAAAGCAGGUCAUAGUGAUCCGGUGGUUCUGAAUGGAAGGGCCAUCGCUCAACGGAUAAAAGGUACUCCGGGGAUAACAGGCUGAUACCGCCCAAGAGUUCAUAUCGACGGCGGUGUUUGGCACCUCGAUGUCGGCUCAUCACAUCCUGGGGCUGAAGUAGGUCCCAAGGGUAUGGCUGUUCGCCAUUUAAAGUGGUACGCGAGCUGGGUUUAGAACGUCGUGAGACAGUUCGGUCCCUAUCUGCCGUGGGCGCUGGAGAACUGAGGGGGGCUGCUCCUAGUACGAGAGGACCGGAGUGGACGCAUCACUGGUGUUCGGGUUGUCAUGCCAAUGGCACUGCCCGGUAGCUAAAUGCGGAAGAGAUAAGUGCUGAAAGCAUCUAAGCACGAAA